AAUAUUCGUAUGAGACAGCAAGGCGUUUCAGAAUAUCGGCCUGUGCUGUAUAGAGAAAGAAGAGACGUAGAACAAAUAAUCAGAUAUACCAAAAGUUUCUUGAUACAAUGUUGGGAAAGUAAGUAUAAAAUUAGAGCUUAAACCCUAAAGACGACUGAGGACGACGACGAGGAAGACCUAAGCUUGGCCCGCAUUCUGAAACACUUCGCUGUCUCACCGCGACUAUUUUCAAAGACCACAGAGAUAAUUAGUGGAGUUCUCAAGUGUUUAUGUUCUUAAUAGAGUAGAAUUCUUGUUGAUCUGUCACUAAAACCAUGAAAAAAAAAAAAUCCUUAAAAACCCGUAUCACUUAAAUUAGAGCCAUUUGAAAGAAAUGCAAUUGCGGAGGAAGCGUUUCAGAAUAUGGUCCGAACCGAUGCAAAGCUGAACAGGCCACAAGAAGAGGAGGAAGAGGACGAGUGACUGGCUGUGUGGCGAGAGGAAGCUGAAUUUCAUCAUUUUUUUGCCGUGUAUAGACCUGUACGAGCCUUAACAGGGCCUAUAUAAAGUGUACCUUGAGGAUCCACCACCACCUGUACGGAGUGUGGGCCGGGACACCUGAGCACCCUCACCUGCCGCCCUCUACCACUCAUGAGGAGCAUCAGACAAAAGCCACUCAAUCAGGCCAUGCAGCUGCACGGGAACGUGAAACAGACCGUGAUCUGCUCUGCUCUGCGGGCGGGAUUGCCUCUCCACGAUGAUGCUCCGAGGAGGCAGAGGAAAAAGCAGCACAACACAUUCCAUCCGCGCGGGGUCGUCCUCUAUUUAUAUGACGCAGCCAAUUAUAUAACGUUUACAUAAUUCGUGUUUUUCAUAAUGUAUGCAUCUCUUGCACUAUGAUUUUACACUAUUAUACCUCGAAGAGGCUCCGGAGAAAAAUACAACCAAAAACUGGGAAAUUUCUUUGUUUAAAAAAAAAAAAAUUAUAAAUAAAUAAAGUCAAUUGGGGGAGUCUUCCGAACUCUUAGCCAUGGCUCAUUCAUCAGCAGCAACACAACUAAUUAUGACCAUAAGUACAUUCAUUAUAUAUAUAUAUUGAAGGCAGACAUGCACACACCCACAGGAAUGGACGGACGGCCGCCUCAUAAUUUCUGUCGUGUUGGUGGACUCCAUUUUGGGCAAGCAGCGUGAAGGACGAUACAGGACUCUCCGCAGCGGCGCAGUGCCAUCUCCCGCAUGCUGUGUUCAAGAAGUUUCACAGAUCAGGACAAGCCACCUGCAAAAGGUUGUAAAUCUUUCAUUAAAAUAAAUCGCGAACGGAUGAAA
Scylla paramamosain (green mud crab) is the source of this 1305-nucleotide long non-coding RNA. RefSeq lists it as uncharacterized. The transcript has 4 exons. NCBI's taxonomy places the organism in Eukaryota, Metazoa, Arthropoda, Malacostraca, Decapoda, Portunidae. The record is from RefSeq and is a predicted model, not a curated record.